GGUUAAGCGACUAAGCGUACACGGUGGAUGCCCUGGCAGUCAGAGGCGAUGAAGGACGUGCUAAUCUGCGAUAAGCGUCGGUAAGGUGAUAUGAACCGUUAUAACCGGCGAUUUCCGAAUGGGGAAACCCAGUGUGUUUCGACACACUAUCAUUAACUGAAUCCAUAGGUUAAUGAGGCGAACCGGGGGAACUGAAACAUCUAAGUACCCCGAGGAAAAGAAAUCAACCGAGAUUCCCCCAGUAGCGGCGAGCGAACGGGGAGCAGCCCAGAGCCUGAAUCAGUGUGUGUGUUAGUGGAAGCGUCUGGAAAGGCGCGCGAUACAGGGUGACAGCCCCGUACACAAAAAUGCACAUACUGUGAGCUCGAUGAGUAGGGCGGGACACGUGGUAUCCUGUCUGAAUAUGGGGGGACCAUCCUCCAAGGCUAAAUACUCCUGACUGACCGAUAGUGAACCAGUACCGUGAGGGAAAGGCGAAAAGAACCCCGGCGAGGGGAGUGAAAAAGAACCUGAAACCGUGUACGUACAAGCAGUGGGAGCACGCUUCGGCGUGUGACUGCGUACCUUUUGUAUAAUGGGUCAGCGACUUAUAUUCUGUAGCAAGGUUAACCGAAUAGGGGAGCCGAAGGGAAACCGAGUCUUAACUGGGCGUUAAGUUGCAGGGUAUAGACCCGAAACCCGGUGAUCUAGCCAUGGGCAGGUUGAAGGUUGGGUAACACUAACUGGAGGACCGAACCGACUAAUGUUGAAAAAUUAGCGGAUGACUUGUGGCUGGGGGUGAAAGGCCAAUCAAACCGGGAGAUAGCUGGUUCUCCCCGAAAGCUAUUUAGGUAGCGCCUCGUGAACUCAUCUUCGGGGGUAGAGCACUGUUUCGGCAAGGGGGUCAUCCCGACUUACCAACCCGAUGCAAACUGCGAAUACCGGAGAAUGUUAUCACGGGAGACACACGGCGGGUGCUAACGUCCGUCGUGAAGAGGGAAACAACCCAGACCGCCAGCUAAGGUCCCAAAGUCAUGGUUAAGUGGGAAACGAUGUGGGAAGGCCCAGACAGCCAGGAUGUUGGCUUAGAAGCAGCCAUCAUUUAAAGAAAGCGUAAUAGCUCACUGGUCGAGUCGGCCUGCGCGGAAGAUGUAACGGGGCUAAACCAUGCACCGAAGCUGCGGCAGCGACACUAUGUGUUGUUGGGUAGGGGAGCGUUCUGUAAGCCUGUGAAGGUGUGCUGUGAGGCAUGCUGGAGGUAUCAGAAGUGCGAAUGCUGACAUAAGUAACGAUAAAGCGGGUGAAAAGCCCGCUCGCCGGAAGACCAAGGGUUCCUGUCCAACGUUAAUCGGGGCAGGGUGAGUCGACCCCUAAGGCGAGGCCGAAAGGCGUAGUCGAUGGGAAACAGGUUAAUAUUCCUGUACUUGGUGUUACUGCGAAGGGGGGACGGAGAAGGCUAUGUUGGCCGGGCGACGGUUGUCCCGGUUUAAGCGUGUAGGCUGGUUUUCCAGGCAAAUCCGGAAAAUCAAGGCUGAGGCGUGAUGACGAGGCACUACGGUGCUGAAGCAACAAAUGCCCUGCUUCCAGGAAAAGCCUCUAAGCAUCAGGUAACAUUAAAUCGUACCCCAAACCGACACAGGUGGUCAGGUAGAGAAUACCAAGGCGCUUGAGAGAACUCGGGUGAAGGAACUAGGCAAAAUGGUGCCGUAACUUCGGGAGAAGGCACGCUGAUAUGUAGGUGAAGUCCCUCGCGGAUGGAGCUGAAAUCAGUCGAAGAUACCAGCUGGCUGCAACUGUUUAUUAAAAACACAGCACUGUGCAAACACGAAAGUGGACGUAUACGGUGUGACGCCUGCCCGGUGCCGGAAGGUUAAUUGAUGGGGUUAGCGGUAACGCGAAGCUCUUGAUCGAAGCCCCGGUAAACGGCGGCCGUAACUAUAACGGUCCUAAGGUAGCGAAAUUCCUUGUCGGGUAAGUUCCGACCUGCACGAAUGGCGUAAUGAUGGCCAGGCUGUCUCCACCCGAGACUCAGUGAAAUUGAACUCGCUGUGAAGAUGCAGUGUACCCGCGGCAAGACGGAAAGACCCCGUGAACCUUUACUAUAGCUUGACACUGAACAUUGAGCCUUGAUGUGUAGGAUAGGUGGGAGGCUUUGAAGUGUGGACGCCAGUCUGCAUGGAGCCGACCUUGAAAUACCACCCUUUAAUGUUUGAUGUUCUAACGUUGACCCGUAAUCCGGGUUGCGGACAGUGUCUGGUGGGUAGUUUGACUGGGGCGGUCUCCUCCUAAAGAGUAACGGAGGAGCACGAAGGUUGGCUAAUCCUGGUCGGACAUCAGGAGGUUAGUGCAAUGGCAUAAGCCAGCUUGACUGCGAGCGUGACGGCGCGAGCAGGUGCGAAAGCAGGUCAUAGUGAUCCGGUGGUUCUGAAUGGAAGGGCCAUCGCUCAACGGAUAAAAGGUACUCCGGGGAUAACAGGCUGAUACCGCCCAAGAGUUCAUAUCGACGGCGGUGUUUGGCACCUCGAUGUCGGCUCAUCACAUCCUGGGGCUGAAGUAGGUCCCAAGGGUAUGGCUGUUCGCCAUUUAAAGUGGUACGCGAGCUGGGUUUAGAACGUCGUGAGACAGUUCGGUCCCUAUCUGCCGUGGGCGCUGGAGAACUGAGGGGGGCUGCUCCUAGUACGAGAGGACCGGAGUGGACGCAUCACUGGUGUUCGGGUUGUCAUGCCAAUGGCACUGCCCGGUAGCUAAAUGCGGAAGAGAUAAGUGCUGAAAGCAUCUAAGCACGAAACUUGCCCCGAGAUGAGUUCUCCCUGACCCUUUAAGGGUCCUGAAGGAACGUUGAAGACGACGACGUUGAUAGGCCGGGUGUGUAAGCGCAGCGAUGCGUUGAGCUAACCGGUACUAAUGAACCGUGAGGCUUAACCUU
This 2905-nucleotide ribosomal RNA is filed under the name Escherichia coli. RNAcentral describes it as "23S ribosomal RNA". It matches the Rfam family "Bacterial large subunit ribosomal RNA". RNAcentral also lists the same sequence under 1 other name. Lineage: Bacteria; Pseudomonadati; Pseudomonadota; Gammaproteobacteria; Enterobacterales; Enterobacteriaceae. The record is from RNAcentral.